UACCAGCACCCCGAGUGGUCGGGACGAUUAUUGGGCCUAAAGCAUCCGUAGCCGGUCCCACAAGUCCUCCGUUAAAUCCAACUGCUUAACAGAUGGGCCGCGGAGGAUACUAUGGGGCUAGGAGGCAGGAGAGGCAAGCGGUACUCAGUGGGUAGGGGUAAAAUCCGUUGAUCCACUGAAGACCACCAGUGGCGAAGGCGGCUUGCCAGAAUGCGCUCGACGGUGAGGAUGAAAGCUGGGGGAGCAAAGCCGGGA
This 255-nucleotide ribosomal RNA is filed under the name uncultured bacterium. RNAcentral's name for it is "partial 16S ribosomal RNA". It matches the Rfam family "Archaeal small subunit ribosomal RNA", at positions 474 to 730 of the family's 1478-position model. The record is from RNAcentral.